GUAGGUGAACCUGCGGAAGGAUCAUUAUCACGUUAUCCACGUAUAAACCAUUGUGAACCGUACCCCACCUUUGCGAUGCGGAAAAAAUUGGAGUUUAUUCUUCAGUUUUUUAAAAUAAGAGGAUUCGUUCUCUUAGCCGUGUUGCAAAGCGUAUUUUUAAAACUUAUUAACCAUUAUAACCCAAUCUUUAUAACAACUAUGAACUAAAACUAUUUUAUACUCUUCGGAGAUAAAAUUCAUUACGAAACAA
Molecule: unclassified non-coding RNA, 250 nt
Filed under: plant metagenome
Description: partial contains small subunit ribosomal RNA, internal transcribed spacer 1, and 5.8S ribosomal RNA
Source: RNAcentral